AUGUAAGUAAAAAAAUAAUUUUAGUGUGUUGUGGUCUCAUAUUUAUAGAAAAUCUAUCUUUCAUC
Molecule: transfer RNA, 65 nt
Filed under: Whitmania laevis
Lineage: Eukaryota; Metazoa; Annelida; Clitellata; Hirudinida; Haemopidae
Description: tRNA-His
Source: RNAcentral